GUUCGUGCCAAAAUGUUUAUUGUCUAAGCUGGAAUGACACCAGCCAAAGCAACAAUCCAGGAAGUGGACAGUCCCGAGGACUGAGUGCAAUGUGGAGUGGCCUGUUAAACAUGCCCCACUGGAGUGACAGUUGGUGGGAGCCAUUGACAAGGGCCAGCUUGCUUUAAUGACAUCUGACUGACCAAAGGCCACGUGCACUGCACUUUCCAAAUAAGGAGUCUUGUCACAGGACUUGAGGAGGCCACUUCCAGGAGUGCUUGAGACAGCCCCUGCUCUGUAUGUGUCCUGAAACCACAGGGCACAGGGUCCUGCCUCAUGUGAAAGCAUUUGGAGCACUGAGUCAGGCUUCUCACUCUAGAACCCUUUCCUCGGUGGGCCCAGUGGGCACCCGGCUGCCUGACAGCUUCCCCCCAAACACAGAGAGACACAGCUUGUCGUCAGGCUGAAUUGUCCCCACCGCACGGCGUCCCAGCCUCCCCGGCAGCACCUGUGCUCCAAGUCCAGAGUCGGCCUCCACUCACUCCCACUUCUGUGGGGGGGGCAGCAGUAAGUGAGGCAGAGGUGGCACGGGAGGGUGUCCCCGGCUUUGUGCCCUGGGUCACAUCGGGCAAUCAAACGCCAUCGGGAAUGUGCUUUUGUGGGUUUAGUGCGUCCCGGCGCGUUUAUAGGACCCUCUCAGGUUGACGUUGUAGUCAGAAAACAUCUCUGUUUCCAGCAGCAGACUGGGCUCCACCAGGUUUGGAGACUGAAGGAACAAUACACCGGAAUGGAUUCUCCCUUCGUUACUGAUGGGCAGGAGGGGCCGUGGGAGGCCGACCGCAGCGCCAGGAAGCUGCUCUGAGUCACGGCUCAGCCUUUCACUUUCACAAUCGCACUUCAGGACACCUUCUCUGGAAUAAUUGGGGGAAGAAGGUAAUUUAAACAGAGAAAGAUCGCCAUUUCCUGAAUUCCACGCCGAUGGGUCACGCAGCCCUUCCCUUCAACGGCUUCCACACGAAUAACACACCUGAGUCUGUCUGGUGGUGGGGUUUUGUCAGAGUUCACUGCCGGGUAGCUGCUUUGUGUGCUGUCUCUCAGUUGAAGAUGCGUUUUGUCCGUGUCAGGUUGUGUCGGUCUAACUAGUCCCCUGGCGCCUGCUAGGACUGGUGGGUGAGGAGUGGAGUGGGGAGCGCUUGCCGCCCAGACCAAAGGUGCCUGAAUUAGGUGCCUUGUUAAGAUGCGGAUUCAGACUUGAUGGGAACAAGCUGCCAGGUGGUGCUGGUGUUGUGAAAGUGUCCUCUGAAGCUCCUCCAUUGCCCCUUCUCAAUAAACUGAGUGGAGUGACAGCACCUAUUCCCUGGCUGUGUCUCCUGGGUGAUAUCUUCUGGCUGGCAGGAAGAUUGAUGCAAUAUAAUCUUUUGUAUGCUUUGGACGUGUUGGAAGAAAGACGAAAUGUGAGUUAUGAUUGUGAAAUCUAUUACAUUCUAGAAUUAUUAGUCCCAUUCGCUAAGAUUCUGGCACCUCAAGGACACAGCACCCCAGGGACAAUGGAUUCAAAGAACAGAAACCUUAGCACAGGUCCCUCCCUGGUGCCACGAUCUUCUCUUUGAAGUCACCUUUACACAUGACAAUCACGUUAGCUGCAAACGACAGACCGUGACGUGAUUGGUGGGGACUUCGUCCAGCUGGAAGCAGAGGUCCAGCCCCGUGCAGUCAGCUGCUCCCGUCCAUCCCGGUGUCCGGGGCACAGCUGGGCUUCAGCGGGCCCCAGUGAGCACAAGCCAGGAGGGCUGGUUCACCACAACGUGGCAAAAAUAAAACCUCAUGCCAAGAAGUGACCAAAUCAAAAUAGAAUUUCUUUUUUUGGUUCACUGCCGCAACACAAAGACCUGUCUUCAGAAUCGGCUGAGACAAGUGCUCGGAAGAACCCGAGAUUCCACCCUCAGGUAGCCCCUGAGACAGGAGAGGACAAGAGGCGGCCCGACAGCCCGCGCUGUGUUGGCUGGCGUAGACCCGCUCCACCUCCCACAGGCACCUGCUCUGAACACGCAGCAUGGUCACUAGGGCUCACACGCAUGCAUCAAUGCACAAGUGUCUGCGUGAGGACCAGCCCCCAGUGCUAACUACUACAGGAAAUUCUGAGAUGGCAUGUGGUCCCGCCCUGGAAGAGCUUAGCGUCUGGUUGGGCACAAACAUGAACACUCACCUUGCCACUCACUAACUAAUGCCAACUUACUACUUGGAACAGACGCAACGCUAUAAAGGAAGAACCAUCAUCCCCUUCUUCAGAUGAGGAAACUGAGGCUCAGAGAAUUUCAAUAACGUUGUGGAGGCAAUUGAGCGAAUCAAGACACUCAGAACAUGGGUCUGCCUCUCGCUCCACGUGGGCCAUCAGCGCACAUGCCAGCCUGGCCUUUCUGCCACCACUGUCGUUAAAUACCUGGGUUUUUGUGGGUCCAGCUCCAAGACCUAAGAGAAAUAAAACACUUCAACUGCUGAGGGCCAGGCCCUGCAUGAAUAUCACAAAACUGAAGAGGUUUCCUGCCCCCCAGGCACCUGACACUGCUGUGGAAAACUGGCCACCACCCAAGGGAAAUGAUCCAUAAUUCCAUCCCGUCUCAUCAUUAGUGGCUUGCUCGGUUAGCCACUGGUGAAAAGACAGGAAAAUCUUAGGGAAACGAGCCAUUUCUUGUGCCCUAAGCCCUGUAGCCAUUAUUGAUUUUAUAAGCAAAUCAUCAACUUCAUAACAGUGUUGAAAGUGUAUUGUAUUUUUCAGAUAGACGAUUAUUGUUGAAAAUCUUUUAAUUACAGAAAAAUCACAAAGAAGAAAAUAAAUCUCUACGCAACUUGUCUGAACCACACAGAGUCCAUACUUGGCCAAGAGCCUUGCACCAACCAUCAUCUUUGAAGUUUCGGGUAAAAGAUAAUGAAAUGCCAGCGGGGUAGGCCCAAUAGCCGGUAAAAAGAGUGUAGCGACAGAUCAGAGCGAUCUGGGCGCUAGGGUUCACGAGCUACGUCACUUUGGAAGAGAUA
Non-coding RNA from Equus caballus (horse), 3012 nucleotides. The record is from RefSeq and is a predicted model, not a curated record. Lineage: Eukaryota; Metazoa; Chordata; Mammalia; Perissodactyla; Equidae.